GAUGAACGCUGGCGGCGUGCCUAAUACAUGCCAGUCGAGCGAACAGACGAGGAGCUUGCUCCUCUGACGUUAGCGGCGGACGGGUGAGUAACACGUGGAUAACCUACCUAUAAGACUUGGAUAACUUCGGGAAACCGGAGCUAAUACCGGAUAAUAUAUUUAACCGCAUGGUUCAAUAGUGAAAGACGGUUUUGCUGUCACUUAUAGAUGGAUCCGCGCCUCAUUAGCUAGUUGGUAAGGUAACGGCUUACCAAGGCAACGAUGCGUAGCCGACCUGAGAGGGUGAUCGGCCACACUGGAACUGAGACACGGUACAGACUCCUACGGGAGGCAGCAGUAGGGAAUCUUCCGCAAUGGGCGAAAGCCUGACGGAGCAACGCCGCGUGAGUGAUGAAGGUCUUCGGAUCGUAAAACUCUGUUAUUAGGGAAGAACAAAUGUGUAAGUAACUAUGCACGUCUUGACGGUACCUAAUCAGAAAGCCACGGCUAACUACGUG
This 497-nucleotide ribosomal RNA is filed under the name uncultured bacterium. Its description in RNAcentral is "partial 16S ribosomal RNA". It matches the Rfam family "Bacterial small subunit ribosomal RNA", at positions 28 to 507 of the family's 1533-position model. The record is from RNAcentral.